UAGGGAAUAUUGCUCAAUGGGGGAAACCCUGAAGCAGCAACGCCGCGUGAGUGAUGAAGGCCUUCGGGUCGUAAAGCUCUGUUGUACGGGAAGAAUAAGGUUUGGCUAAUAUCCAAACCGGUGACUGUACUGUAUAAGAAAGGACCGGCUAACUUCGUGCCAGCAGCCGCGGUAAGACGGGGGGUCCUAGCGUUGUUCGGAAUCAUUGGGCGUAAAGCGUGUGCAGGUGGUCUAGAAAGUUAGGUGUGAAAGCCCCGGGCUUAACCCGGGAAGUGCACUUAAAACUACUAGACUUGAAUAUGAAAGAGGGUCGUGGAAUUCCUAGUGUAGUGGUGAAAUACGUAGAUAUUAGGAGGAACACCGGUGGCGAAGGCGGCGACCUGGUUCAAUAUUGACACUC
RNAcentral lists this ribosomal RNA (400 nucleotides) under uncultured bacterium. Its description in RNAcentral is "bacterial SSU rRNA". It matches the Rfam family "Bacterial small subunit ribosomal RNA", at positions 355 to 748 of the family's 1533-position model. The record is from RNAcentral.